RNAcentral lists this transfer RNA (87 nucleotides) under Gemmatimonadaceae bacterium. Its description in RNAcentral is "tRNA-Ser". It matches the Rfam family "tRNA". From Rfam's summary of the family: Transfer RNA (tRNA) molecules are approximately 80 nucleotides in length. Their secondary structure includes four short double-helical elements and three loops (D, anti-codon, and T loops). The record is from RNAcentral. Lineage: Bacteria; Pseudomonadati; Gemmatimonadota; Gemmatimonadia; Gemmatimonadales; Gemmatimonadaceae.
GGAAGCGUGGCGGAGUGGUCGAUCGCUUCAGUCUUGAAAACUGACGAACCCGCAAGGGUUCCGUGGGUUCGAAUCCCACCGCUUCCU